AUGCUUAACUGACAGGGGAGACACCCUGAUCACGAAGUUGGUUUUCCUAGGCCAAGGCUUAUCCGUAGCACUCUGAAUGUACUGACCUCUGUGAUUUCCCCAAAUGUGGGAAACUUGAAUGCAUUUAAUUUGUGGUAGUGGGGGAUGCGUUCACACUCUCCUCUG
Sorex fumeus (smoky shrew) is the source of this 165-nucleotide small nuclear RNA. RefSeq annotates it as U1 spliceosomal RNA. Lineage: Eukaryota; Metazoa; Chordata; Mammalia; Eulipotyphla; Soricidae. The transcript has a single exon. The record is from RefSeq and is a predicted model, not a curated record.